GGGGAUGCACCGGUUUCGACGGAUUUGUCGAUUCUUGUAUUGCAGGUGAGGUUACGCCUGUCCUCUGAACAGACGGAAAAAAUAACUGAAGAAGAUAAUUCUCAGUUCGUUGCAAUGGCUGCUUAAGCCUGCAACCGGAAAUCUUAUGGCGCCGCUCUGAGCCGUAGGAAUUUCUGUCACCUGACCAGGGCUUGCCGCGUAUUGUGUCCGGUCGAUACUCGGGACAUAUAAUCGGAAUACGGAGACGACGCUUGUGGUGCUGCUACCGUUUCCCGACAACCACCUCGCACCGAUAAACCUGUAGACGUGCAUGGACCGCAUAUUCGGACGGGGGUUCAACUCCCCCCAUCUCCAU
This 355-nucleotide transfer-messenger RNA is filed under the name uncultured Treponema sp. It matches the Rfam family "transfer-messenger RNA". Rfam says of the family: Bacterial tmRNA, also known as 10Sa RNA or SsrA, is named for its dual tRNA and mRNA-like properties. The record is from RNAcentral. Lineage: Bacteria; Pseudomonadati; Spirochaetota; Spirochaetia; Treponematales; Treponemataceae.